UACGUAGGGGGCGAGCGUUAUCCGGAUUUACUGGGCGUAAAGCGCGCUAAGGCGGCCCGCUGAGUUGGUGGUGAAAUACUGGGGCUCAACCCCGGAACUGCCUCCAAUACUGGCGGGCUGGAGUGCGGGAGAGGAAGGUGGAAUUCCCGGUGUAGUAGUGAAAUGCGUAGAUAUCGGGAGGAACACCAGUGGCGAAGGCGGCCUUCUGGCCCGCAACUGACGCUGUAGCGCGAAAGCGUGGGGAG
This 245-nucleotide ribosomal RNA is filed under the name uncultured Caldicellulosiruptor sp. RNAcentral's name for it is "partial 16S ribosomal RNA". It matches the Rfam family "Bacterial small subunit ribosomal RNA", at positions 524 to 768 of the family's 1533-position model. Lineage: Bacteria; Bacillati; Bacillota; Caldicellulosiruptorales; Caldicellulosiruptoraceae. The record is from RNAcentral.